RNAcentral lists this ribosomal RNA (254 nucleotides) under uncultured bacterium. RNAcentral's name for it is "partial 16S ribosomal RNA". It matches the Rfam family "Bacterial small subunit ribosomal RNA", at positions 524 to 776 of the family's 1533-position model. The record is from RNAcentral.
UACGUAGGGGGCAAGCGUUGUCCGGAUUUAUUGGGCGUAAAGAGCGUGUAGGCGGUUUGGUAGGUCCGCUGUGAAAACUCGAGGCUCAACCUCGAGACGCCGGUGGAAACCAUCAGGCUAGAGUCCGGAAGAGGAGAGUGGAAUUCCUGGUGUAGCGGUGAAAUGCGUAGAGAUGUGGAGGAACACCAAUGGCGAAGGCACUCUACUGGGCCAUUACUGACACUGGAGAGACGAAAGCUAGGGGAGCAAAUGGG